CUGCACUUCAUGGCAACAGAACCCACAGGAGCAAUGACCUUCAUCACCAUCUUCAUCUUUGUUCUCUUUCUCUGCAUUCAAGAGUCCAGUGGACUCACAGGUUACUGUGACUCAGAGUCCAUCAGUGAGAUCAGUUCUCCAACGACAGACAGUCACUGUGAGCUGUAAGACCAGCAGUGCAGUUUACAGUAACAGCUAUGGUGAAUACAUGGCCUGCUAACAUCAAAUAUCUGAAGGAGCUCCUAGACUAUUGAUUUAUCUUUUAAAUAAACUAAACCCUGGGACCCCAA
Lepisosteus oculatus (spotted gar) is the source of this 290-nucleotide non-coding RNA. The record is from RefSeq and is a predicted model, not a curated record. NCBI's taxonomy places the organism in Eukaryota, Metazoa, Chordata, Actinopteri, Semionotiformes, Lepisosteidae.